GAGCGAGUCAUCUGUGACAGG
Molecule: microRNA, 21 nt
Filed under: Nicotiana tabacum (common tobacco)
Lineage: Eukaryota; Viridiplantae; Streptophyta; Magnoliopsida; Solanales; Solanaceae
Description: nta-miR1919
Source: miRBase by way of RNAcentral